AGAGUUUGAUCCUGGCUCAGGAUGAACGCUGGCGGCGUGCCUAAUACAUGCAAGUCGAACGAGGACCCCGGUACUUGUACUGGGAAUUCCUAGUGGCGAACGGGUGAGUAACGCGUUGGUGACCUACCCCAAAGUGGGGGACAACAGUUCGAAAGAGCUGCUAAUACCCCAUAGUAUCGCGAGAGUUAAAGGUCUUGCGAUUAAAGGAUUUAUUCGCUUUGGGAGGGGCCUACGUCCCAUCAGCUAGUUGGUAAGGUAAUGGCUUACCAAGGCAGAGACGGGUAGGGGACCUGAGAGGGUGACCCCCCACACUGGUACUGAAACACGGACCAGACACCUACGGGUGGCAGCAGUAGGGAAUAUUGCGCAAUGGACGAAAGUCUGACGCAGCAACGCCGCGUGCACGAUGAAGGUGUUCGGAUUGUAAAGUGCUUUUAUGUGAGAAGAGAAAGGACGGUAUCAC
This 463-nucleotide ribosomal RNA is filed under the name uncultured deep-sea bacterium. RNAcentral's name for it is "bacterial SSU rRNA". It matches the Rfam family "Bacterial small subunit ribosomal RNA", at positions 8 to 481 of the family's 1533-position model. The record is from RNAcentral.